GGCGGUGUAGCUCAGUUGGUUCAGAGCAGCGGAAUCAUAAUCCGCGUGUCGGGGGUUCAAGUCCCUCCACCGCCA
RNAcentral lists this transfer RNA (75 nucleotides) under Pseudomonadota bacterium. RNAcentral's name for it is "tRNA-Met". It matches the Rfam family "tRNA". Rfam says of the family: Transfer RNA (tRNA) molecules are approximately 80 nucleotides in length. Their secondary structure includes four short double-helical elements and three loops (D, anti-codon, and T loops). RNAcentral also lists the same sequence under 2 other names. Lineage: Bacteria; Pseudomonadati; Pseudomonadota. The record is from RNAcentral.